Molecule: ribosomal RNA, 497 nt
Filed under: uncultured bacterium
Lineage: Bacteria
Description: partial 16S ribosomal RNA
Rfam family: Bacterial small subunit ribosomal RNA
Source: RNAcentral
GAUGAACGCUGGCGGCGUGCCUAAUACAUGCAAGUCGAGCGAACAGACGAGGAGCUUGCUCCUCUGACGUUAGCGGCGGACGGGUGAGUAACACGUGGAUAACCUACCUAUAAGACUGGGAUAACUUCGGGAAACCGGAGCUAAUACCGGAUAAUAUAUUGAACCGCAUGGUUCAAUAGUGAAAGACGGCUUUGCUGUCACUUAUAGAUGGAUCUGCGCCGCAUUAGCUAGUUGGUAGGGUAACGGCUUAUCAAGGCAACGAUGCGUAGCCGACCUGAGAGGGUGAUCGGCCACACGGGAACUGGAACACGGUCCAGACUCCUGCGGGAGGCAGCAGUAGGGAAUCUUCCGCAAUGGGCGAGAGCCUGGCGGAGCAGGGCCGCGUGAGUGAUGAAGGUCUUCGGAUCGUAAAGCUCUGUUAUUAGGGAAGAACAAAUGUGUAAGUAACUAUGCACGUCUUGACGGUACCUAGUCAGAAAGCCACGGCUAACUACGUG